GGUUUGAAACCCAAAGAAUUGGGGGCCGGGUUUCGCCCACAAUUGGGAAUGUGUAUAACCC
RNAcentral lists this transfer RNA (61 nucleotides) under Dicrocoelium chinensis. Its description in RNAcentral is "tRNA-Arg". The record is from RNAcentral. Lineage: Eukaryota; Metazoa; Platyhelminthes; Trematoda; Plagiorchiida; Dicrocoeliidae.